Vigna angularis (adzuki bean) is the source of this 1930-nucleotide RNA transcript. It is a transcript of the gene named thioredoxin-like 3-3, with no coding region annotated. NCBI's taxonomy places the organism in Eukaryota, Viridiplantae, Streptophyta, Magnoliopsida, Fabales, Fabaceae. The transcript is spliced from 4 exons. The record is from RefSeq and is a predicted model, not a curated record.
AAAAUUAACAUAUGGUUAAAUUUCUUGACCAAUAACUUCACUCUCUAAAAUAUGAAUCUGCGCGAUGGUGAAAUAUAGAUUUCGUUGGAUUGGGAAAAGAAACGACAAUGGAGGGAAGCUCAAGCAUGGUGAGCAACCAGCAUGACAAGGCAAAGAAAGGGUUGGAAGGCAGUGCCUUAGAUUUACCCAUCAACCGUUAUGCCAAUUUGAAAAGCGCUACAAGCGAUGACGACUUCACCAAUGUUCUCGCACUCAUCAAAUCCUCCAAAACCCCCGUAAGCAAAACUACACCCCCAAUGUUAAGGCUGUUAUCAAUUAUGGCGCUUCUUGGUGCCGCGUCUGUAGCCAGAUUCUCCCAGCAUUCUGCAGACUCAGCAAUAAUUUUCCAAAGCUUACCUUUGUGUACGCAGACAUUGAUGAAUGCCCGGAAACAACUCAACACAUUCGCUACACGCCAACCUUCCAAUUUUACCGGAAUGGUGAAAAGGUAGAUGAGAUGUAUGGCACUGGAGAAGAGAGGCUCCAUGAUCGCCUGUGGUUGCACUCUUAACUACUCCGCGUAAGAGAAACAUCAUGUUUGCAAUUUCUCUAUGCACAAGUAGCAACGAAUUCGAUCGUAGGUGGCUAACUAACUUAUGCAUUUGGCUUGAGGAUUUUCACGGUCUCCCAAGUGAAAUCAGGAUCAUCACGUCCAAAAUGCCCAUAAGCAGCAGUUUUCUGGUACCUGCAGUUGCCUCCUCUCAUGAGAUCAAGAUUGAUGGCAAUCAUUCCUGGCCUGAAGUCAAACUUCUCCUUGAUCAGAGCCAAGAUAUCCUUGUCUGGAAUCUUUCCCGUUUUGUAUGUGUCCACAAACACUGAAAGGGGCUCUGGGACUCCAAUUGCAUAAGAAACCUGCACAAUACAACGUCGAGCAAGUCCUGAAGCUACCACACUCUUGGCUGCUUGCCUGACAAUGUAUGCGCCACUCCUAUCAACCUUGGUUGGGUCCUUGCCGGAGAAGGCACCGCCGCCAUGAGCACCCCAACCGCCAUAGGUGUCUAUAAUGAUCUUCCUUCCAGUGAGUCCUGCAUCUCCAUGUGGUCCACCAAUGACAAACCUACCAGAGGGGUUGAGGUGGAAGAUAGUUUUGUCAUCUAUAUAUUUGGCUGAGAUGACGGGUUUGAUCACUUUCUCUUUCAAAUCUUCAGCAAUUUGCUCAUUUGUGACAGUUUCAUCAUGCUGAGUUGAGAUGAGGACUGUGUGGACCCUGAUAGGGACCAUGGCUCCAUUAUCGUUUUUGUACUCAACUGUCACUUGGGUUUUACCAUCUGGCCUCAGCCAGGGACAUGUUUUGUUCUUUCUCACUUCAGUGAGCUUGGCACCAAGUUUAGUAGCAAGCACAUGAGUGAGUGGCAUUAGCUCCGGUGUUUCGUCUGUGGCAUAACCAAACAUGUGGCCUUGGUCACCAGCACCAAUUUCCUCUGGCUUUUUGGUCAAGUGACCAUGAACUCCUUGAGCAAUAUCAGGACUCUGCUGCUCAAUGUUGACCAGAACUUUGCAAUUGUCAGCAUCAAGACCAACAUCCGCCGACACGAACCCAAUGCCUCUGCAAGUAUCUCGAACUAUUUUCUCGUAGUUCACAUUGGCCUUGGUUGUUAUCUCACCAAACACCAUAACCAUGUUAGUUUUUGUACAGGUUUCACACGCCACCUUGCUGUCUGGGUCUUGCUCCAAGCAUGCAUCCAGGAUGGCAUCUGAAACCUGGUCACACAACUUGUCCGGAUGCCCUUCGUUAACGGAUUCUGAGGUGAAGAGGAAAGUUUCCAUCUCUGGUGCAAAGAAAACAAAAGGGGUCAAAUUGUGUUGUCGAUAGAAACUACGGAAGCAAUUAACUUGACAAUAUCUACAUAUUCAAUUCCAUGGACCUAAAAUAUUGAUUUUAUUACAAGAA